This 468-nucleotide ribosomal RNA is filed under the name uncultured bacterium. RNAcentral describes it as "partial 16S ribosomal RNA". It matches the Rfam family "Bacterial small subunit ribosomal RNA", at positions 28 to 507 of the family's 1533-position model. The record is from RNAcentral.
GACGAACGCUGGCGGCGUGCUUAACACAUGCAAGUCGAACGGAAGGGCCCUGCUUUUGUGGCGUUCUCGAGAGGCGAACGGGUGAGUAACACGUGAGUAACCUGCCCCUGACUGUGGGAUAACUUCAGGAAACUGGGGCUAAUAUCGGAGAGGAGCUACUGCUGCACGGUGGUGGUUGGAAAGUUUCGGCGGUUGGGGCUGGACUCGAGGCUUAUCAGCUGGUUUGUGGGGUAGUGGCUUACCAAGCGUUUGACGGGUAGCCGGCCUGGGAGGGUGGCCGGCCACAUUGGGACUGAGAGACGGCCCAGACUGCUACGGGAGGCAGCAGUGGGGAAUAUUGCGCAAUGGGGGGAAGCCUGAUGCAGCGACGCCGCGUGCGGGAUGCCGGCCUUCGGGUUGUGAACCGCUUUCGCCUGUGACGAAGCGUGAGUGACGGUAAUGGGUAAAGAAGCACCGGCUAACUACGUG